GAUGAACGCUGGCGGCGUGCCUAAUACAUGCAAGUCGAGCGAACAGACGAGGAGCUUGCUCCUCUGACGUUAGCGGCGGACGGGUGAGUAACACGUGGAUAACCUACCUAUAAGACUGGGAUAACUUCGGGAAACCGGCGCUAAUACCGGAUAAUAUAUUGAACCGCAUGGUUCAAUAGUGAAAGACGGUUUUGCUGUCACUUAUAGAUGGAUCCGCGCCGCAUUAGCUAGUUGGUAAGGUAACGGCUUACCAAGGCAACGAUGCGUAGCCGACCUGAGAGGGUGAUCGGCCACACUGGAACGUGGACACGGUCCAGACUCCUACGGGAGGCAGCAGUAGGGAAUCGUCCGCAAUGGGCGAAAGCCUGACGGAGCAACGCCGCGUGAGUGAUGAAGGUCUUCGGAUCGUAAAACUCUGUUAUUAGGGAAGAACAAAUGUGUAAGUAACUAUGCACGUCUUGACGGUACCUAAUCAGAAAGCCACGGCUAACUACGUG
RNAcentral lists this ribosomal RNA (497 nucleotides) under uncultured bacterium. Its description in RNAcentral is "partial 16S ribosomal RNA". It matches the Rfam family "Bacterial small subunit ribosomal RNA", at positions 28 to 507 of the family's 1533-position model. The record is from RNAcentral.